This 690-nucleotide ribosomal RNA is filed under the name uncultured Sebacina. RNAcentral describes it as "eukaryotic LSU rRNA". The stretch from base 264 to 417 matches the Rfam family "5.8S ribosomal RNA". Lineage: Eukaryota; Fungi; Basidiomycota; Agaricomycetes; Sebacinales; Sebacinaceae. The record is from RNAcentral.
CUUGGUCAUUUAGAGGAAGUAAAAGUCGUAACAAGGUUUCCGUAGGUGAACCUGCGGAAGGAUCAUUAGUGAAACUUCAAAGUCGGCUCGUUUACUGUGCUGGUGGAGACACAUGUGCACGUUGCGAGUCGCAAAUCCACACACCUGUGCAUCUAUGACUCUGAGUGCCGCUUUGCAUGGCCUUGACUGGCCUGGCGCUCGAGUACUUUCACACACUCUCGAAUGUAACGGAAUGUCUAUUGUGCAUAAUGUACAAAUGAAACAACUUUCAACAACGGAUCUCUUGGCUCUCGCAUCGAUGAAGAACGCAGCGAAAUGCGAUAAGUAAUGUGAAUUGCAGAAUUCAGUGAAUCAUCGAAUCUUUGAACGCACCUUGCACCCUUUGGUAUUCCGAAGGGUACGCCCGUUUGAGUGUCAUUGUAAUCUCACUACAAUCGACUUUCUGGUCGUUUUGUAUGUGGACUUGGACGCUGCCGUGGAUUCAACGGCUCGUCUGAAAUGCCUGAGUGUACCCCGCCUUGCGGCGUAUUCGGUGUGAUACAUCUUCACCGGAGUUGAUCUUUUUUGAAUCGCGUCUGUUUGGUGUGGCUCUAUGCUUCCAACAGUCCCUUCAUGGGACAAUCUCUGACAAUUUGACCUCAAAUCGGGUGGGACUACCCGCUGAACUUAAGCAUAUCAAUAAGCGGAGGA